GCCAGUACGUAGGGGCUGGAUGGGGCAGAGCGCCGCGAGGCAGUCCUGCAGGGAUGCCAUCUGCCAAACCCUUUCCUGGAACUCCUCUCUUUUCAUUCUGUGGGCCUGCAAGAGAGGCCGGGCAGGGGCGCUGUUAGGAAGCUGAGGCGGCAAGAGUUAGAGUGACCUGCUCAAGGUCACACAGCGAAGAUAGGGCAGAGGUGAGGCUCCAACCUAGGUCUUCCAACGCCCCAUUCUCUGGUCCCUAAAGAGACAAAUGUUACAGAUACUUUGCUUUAAGAUGUACUGAAACCCAUCCACUCAUCUGCUCACUCAUUCCGCAGGUGUUUCUCAGGGACCUACACUGUGUUUGGGCACUGUGCUAAGUACUGGGGAGGGUUUCAAUGUUAUCAAAGCAAACAACAAUGCCUGCCCUCCUAGAGUUUAUAUUCUAAUGCAGGAGAAGGAGAAACAACAUAAGUAAGUUAAUUACAAAGUGCCAGAAGGCAAUACAUCUGUGGAAUGCAACAGAGCAGGGUCAGGACAUGGGGAGGGCCAGGCGGAGGCGGUUUAAAGUCGAAUGUUCAGGGCAGGUCUGGUGAGAAGAUGAACAUCAGGCUGGGUGCAGCAGCACAUGCCUGUAAUUCCAGCACAUUCCACCCUCCUUGCCUUGGGAGGCCAAGGGGGGUGGAUCACGCGGUCAGGAGUUUGAGACCAGCCUGUCCAACAUGGUGAAACCCCAUCUCUACUAAAAAUACAAACAUUAGCCAGGCGUGGUGGCAUGCGCCUGUAAUCUCAGCUACUAGGGAGGCUGAGGCAGGA
Molecule: long non-coding RNA, 801 nt
Filed under: Homo sapiens (human)
Lineage: Eukaryota; Metazoa; Chordata; Mammalia; Primates; Hominidae
Description: HSALNT0223047
Source: RNAcentral